GAUGAACGCUGGCGGCGUGCCCAAUACAUGCAAGUCGAGCGAACAGACGAGAGUGCUUGCACUCUCUGACGUUAGCGGCGGACGGGUGAGUAACACGUGGGUAACCUACCUAUAAGACUGGGAUAACUUCGGGAAACCGGAGCUAAUACCGGAUAAUAUUUAGCUUCGCAUGAAGCAAUAGUGAAAGACGGUUCUGCUGUCACUUAUAGAUGGACCCGCGGUGUAUUAGCUAGUUGGUGAGGUAACGGCUCACCAAGGCAACGAUACAUAGCCGACCUGAGAGGGUGAUCGGCCACACUGGGACUGAGACACGGCCCAGACUCCUACGGGAGGCAGCAGUAGGGAAUCUUCCGCAAUGGACGAAAGUCUGACGGAGCAAUGCCGCGUGAGUGAAGAAGGUUUUCGGAUCGUAAAACUCUGUUGUAAGGGAAGAACAAGUACGUUAGUAACUGAACGUACCUUGACGGUACCUUACCAGAAAGCCACGGCUAACUACGUG
Molecule: ribosomal RNA, 499 nt
Filed under: uncultured bacterium
Lineage: Bacteria
Description: partial 16S ribosomal RNA
Rfam family: Bacterial small subunit ribosomal RNA
Source: RNAcentral